UGGGGAAUAUUGCGCAAUGGGGGAAACCCUGACGCAGCAACGCCGCGUGAAUGAUGAAGGCCUUCGGGUUGUAAAGUUCUGUCUUCUGGGACGAUAAUGACGGUACCAGAGGAGGAAGCCACGGCUAACUACGUGCCAGCAGCCGCGGUAAUACGUAGGUGGCAAGCGUUGUCCGGAUUUACUGGGCGUAAAGGAUGCGUAGGCGGACAUUUAAGUCAGAUGUGAAAUACCCGAGCUUAACUUGGGUGCUGCAUUUGAAACUGGGUGUCUAGAGUGCAGGAGAGGUAAGUGGAAUUCCUAGUGUAGCGGUGAAAUGCGUAGAGAUUAGGAAGAACACCAGUGGCGAAGGCGACUUACUGGACUGUAACUGACGCUGAGGCAUGAAAGCGUGGGGAGCAAACAGGAUUAGAUACCCCCGUAGUCC
Molecule: ribosomal RNA, 424 nt
Filed under: uncultured bacterium
Lineage: Bacteria
Description: bacterial SSU rRNA
Rfam family: Bacterial small subunit ribosomal RNA
Source: RNAcentral